CUUAGGGUUUUACGAUAUAUUGAUAUUGAACCGUGUCAGGUCUGGAAGGAAGCAGCACUAAGAUACUUAAUAUAUGCGUAUUUUCCCUUAGGGUA
Molecule: signal recognition particle RNA, 95 nt
Filed under: Fusobacterium sp.
Lineage: Bacteria; Fusobacteriati; Fusobacteriota; Fusobacteriia; Fusobacteriales; Fusobacteriaceae
Description: signal recognition particle sRNA small type
Rfam family: Bacterial small signal recognition particle RNA
About the family: The signal recognition particle (SRP) is a universally conserved ribonucleoprotein involved in the co-translational targeting of proteins to membranes. Archaeal SRP consists of a 7S RNA and homologues of the eukaryotic SRP19 and SRP54 proteins.
Source: RNAcentral